Molecule: ribosomal RNA, 497 nt
Filed under: uncultured bacterium
Lineage: Bacteria
Description: partial 16S ribosomal RNA
Rfam family: Bacterial small subunit ribosomal RNA
Source: RNAcentral
GAUGAACGCUGGCGGCGUGCCUAAUACAUGCAAGUCGAGCGAACAGAUGAGGAGCUUGCUCCUCUGACGUUAGCGGCGGACGGGUGAGUAACACGUGGAUAACCUACCUAUAAGACUGGGAUAACUUCGGGAAACCGGAGCUAAUACCGGAUAAUAUAUUGAACCGCAUGGUUCAAUAGUGAAAGACGGUUUUGCUGUCACUUAUAGAUGGAUCCGCGCCGCAUUAGCUAGUUGGUAAGGUAACGGCUUACCAAGGCAACGAUGCGUAGCCGACCUGAGAGGGUGGUCGGCCACACUGGAACUGAGACACGGUCCAGACUCCUGCGGGAGGCAGCAGUAGGGAAUCUUCCGCAAAGGGCGAAAGCCUGACGGAGCAACGCCGCGUGAGUGAUGAAGGUCUUCGGAUCGUAAAACUCUGUUAUUAGGGAAGAACAAAUGUGUAAGUAACUAUGCACGUCUUGACGGUACCUAAUCAGAAAGCCACGGCUAACUACGUG